GUCAUCUAAAAAUGACUAGUGUUCCUAAACAUGAUGUGAUUUCACAAGCUUAAACAUGUCUGACGUUCUUUUCUAACCUUUGCUGGAUGCUUCAACAGUGUUUGGCUGUCAAUAAUUUACCCUGGCUGAUUGAGUUUAUACUUGCCUGCUUUGUGAAUAAAAGUGUUUGGAUUACAAAGAAGAGAUUGAGUUAUCCUGCAGAGAGAUGGUGCAAUAAGCAGAUUUUUCUCUUCUUUCAUCCACAGCAUUAUUUCAGCUGGGAGCUGUAGUAUGUGACUAAUUAGCCAAUGGAAGUCCACUCUCUGGACUUUCUGGUGGUAUAUUUACACUGAAUUCUGGCCUGAUAAUAAAGGUGUCACCCAGUGUAACAAUGUGACACACCCAGAGUGAAGAAGAAAAGUCUAAGAUAACACAGAGCCUCUGUCAGCCCUCAAACUUAUUUUUCACAAGCUUCAGCAAUAUUCCAAACAACAAAAGAAAUAUGACUGAACAGACACAAAUUUUGAGGACAUAUUUUUUCCCCAGUAUUUUUUUAACAGGUACUACUGAUGUCCCAGUGCUUUUGAGGGUCUUGUUUGUCCUCCUGGAUGCUUUAGGAAGUUACCACUUUCAGCUCACCUAGAGCUGAUCUCAUUAAUAAAAGAAUGACUUUACAGAAAAGAGUUUCUAAAAUUAUACUCUCACUCAGAAUUGCAAGAGUUGGCUUUUCAGCCUGAAGAUAAAUUUCUUAAGCAUUAAGCUUACUUUAUCAAGUAUUACACCUGACAUUCUCUCAUAAAUUUUGCAUAUAUUUUAACUAAUUUUAAUAUUGUGUGGGCUUGGUUUAUAAUAUUCUCAUGCAGUUACUAAAGUUGAAUCUUCUCAGUCAUAUAUUAGUUGUAAGAAUGCUUAACCCCUUCCAAAAUAUCACUCACUUAAAAUCACAUCAGCUAAGUCUCCUCUUAUUUUUGCUUAUUUCUUGGUUAUUUACCAUGCAUUUUGUGUAUGUUGGAACCAGCCAUGCAGUCGUUGUAUUCCUUUUUUGAGAGGGCAAAUGUAUUUUGACAAGGUUGCUAUUGGAAACACUUUUUAAAUAUCUCAUGUGUCACAUCACAAUCAGCAUCAUAAUCUGAUCAGGUGGAUUAAUUUCAGAAGGCAGCAGAGGGCAUUGCUUACAGGGGUCACAGACAUUCAGAUCAUGGCAGAACUGUCACAGAUGUUACUUUGUGAAAACACAAAGAAUAAUGUGUUUGGAGAGAUCAGUCUUCAAUUAGCUAUAUUUUCUAGGAGCCUACCUUUACUUAGCCUCACAACAUGGGCCUUAGCUUUAGCACUUAAUCUGCACAAAUACCUGGCUUAAGUGUUAUGACUGACUGGCUAUUCAACCAAACCAUACAAAUGACCAAUUCGGUAAGAAAGCAUGAACUUCAGUGUUGAACCAAAUCAACCAACCUCCUCAAUCCAAAUGGCUUGCAGAGCUCAAACCAUUACACCAUUCAGAAGCUGGCUUUGGUAUUACUUCAAGUUAUUCAAAACAGUCACCACUUGCUGAGCCUCUGAUGUCUCAUCUGUUGAAUGGGUACAUUUUCUUCCUGAUCCUUCCACCUCUAAACUUGUCUAUUUCCAAGGAUCUAUGGCAUCCAGGCAUAUGAUUUCAAGAGAGAAGGCUGAAAAGGAAGGUGACUGGAAUAUUAAGAACUGUGAGAUAUUCUGAGGAAACUCUAAUUUGUAAAUUGGUAGAAAUGCCAGUAAUUUGUUGGGAAUUGAAGACCCUCUGUAUUCAAGAGCGAAGCUUGGCAGCUGUGCACUGUUGUUUUAUAAAUCAAUAUUACAUCUGAAGGUGGUGUUUGAAUGUUUGUGUCAUUGGGGUUUGUCUCCAACAUAGUCCUGUGACAAGAAAUGUUCAAACAAAACAAACACAAUCCCUUCCCUGUCCUUUAGGAUAAAGUCCAAACGUAAUUCCACAACAGGGAUAUAACAUUCAAAUCAACUACAGAACUUCUGUAAUUAUAUAAAACCCCACGACCACAGAAAUGCAAUUGAAUUGAAGACACUUUGCAAUAUUCCCCAAGAAAGGACUGUGUGGCUGUCAGAUUAACAAAAGUCAAGAGGUGGUGAGACAAUGCUCACCAUUGCAAAAAAGAGCUUUGUGCAUAAUGAACAGAAUUUGCAUGCCUGUUUAGGAAAUUAAGGUGAAGCCAAGGUGACUUAGGGUCACAUGAGGAGUCACAAC
This 2212-nucleotide long non-coding RNA is filed under the name Homo sapiens (human). RNAcentral describes it as "HSALNT0302702". Lineage: Eukaryota; Metazoa; Chordata; Mammalia; Primates; Hominidae. The record is from RNAcentral.